This 257-nucleotide ribosomal RNA is filed under the name uncultured Pseudomonas sp. RNAcentral describes it as "partial 16S ribosomal RNA". It matches the Rfam family "Bacterial small subunit ribosomal RNA", at positions 96 to 355 of the family's 1533-position model. The record is from RNAcentral. Lineage: Bacteria; Pseudomonadati; Pseudomonadota; Gammaproteobacteria; Pseudomonadales; Pseudomonadaceae.
CGGCGGACGGGUGAGUAAUGCCUAGGAAUCUGCCUGGUAGUGGGGGACAACGUUUCGAAAGGAACGCUAAUACCGCAUACGUCCUACGGGAGAAAGCAGGGGACCUUCGGGCCUUGCGCUAUCAGAUGAGCCUAGGUCGGAUUAGCUAGUUGGUGAGGUAAUGGCUCACCAAGGCGACGAUCCGUAACUGGUCUGAGAGGAUGAUCAGUCACACUGGAACUGAGACACGGUCCAGACUCCUACGGGAGGUAGCAGCU